RNAcentral lists this ribosomal RNA (461 nucleotides) under uncultured marine eukaryote. RNAcentral describes it as "bacterial SSU rRNA". The stretch from base 201 to 461 matches the Rfam family "Eukaryotic small subunit ribosomal RNA", at positions 748 to 933 of the family's 1831-position model. The record is from RNAcentral.
UGCGUUAGAAGCUCGUAGUUGGAUCAGAUCGACUUGCAGUGGCCCACUAGCUGGAUGGCUCCGGUCACGAAGCGGAGGCGGAUCAACCCCUUGCGCCAAACUGUCCGCUCUAACAGGCCGGAACGGUUCCCUGUGAGUAGGUCCCUUCAUUGGGAUCGAAAGCGCCUACGCAUCAACCAUAUGCAUACGGGACGUCGGCCACUGUUACUGUGAACAAACCAGCGUGUCCAAAGCAGGCUUUCGCCUGAAUGUUCGAGCAUGGAAUAACAAGGGAUCGAUCCUCUCGAUUCUUUUUGUUGGUUUUUAACCCGAGAAGGAGUAUUUCAGGCCACGGUGUCUGAGUUAGGUUCCCCUAGCCUCUGGGUUAGGCCUCAAUUAGGCCGUGUCCUUACGGGAUCAAUAGGGACUGACGGGGCCGUACGUAUUUCCGCGUCAGAGGUGAAAUUCUUAGAUCGCGGGAA